GCGCCUGUAGCUUAAUUGGAUAGAGCAGCAGACUUCGGAUCUGCGGGUUGGGGGUUCGAGUCCCUCCAGGCGCACCA
This 77-nucleotide transfer RNA is filed under the name Hippea maritima DSM 10411. RNAcentral's name for it is "tRNA-Arg (TCG) (tRNA-Arg-TCG-1-1)". It matches the Rfam family "tRNA". Rfam says of the family: Transfer RNA (tRNA) molecules are approximately 80 nucleotides in length. Their secondary structure includes four short double-helical elements and three loops (D, anti-codon, and T loops). Further hydrogen bonds mediate the characteristic L-shaped molecular structure. tRNAs have two regions of fundamental functional importance: the anti-codon, which is responsible for specific mRNA codon recognition, and the 3' end, to which the tRNAs corresponding amino acid is attached (by aminoacyl-tRNA synthetases). tRNAs cope with the degeneracy of the genetic code in two manners: having more than one tRNA (with a specific anti-codon) for a particular amino acid; and 'wobble' base-pairing, i.e. permitting non-standard base-pairing at the 3rd anti-codon position. The record is from RNAcentral. Lineage: Bacteria; Pseudomonadati; Campylobacterota; Desulfurellia; Desulfurellales; Hippeaceae.